Molecule: ribosomal RNA, 404 nt
Filed under: uncultured Sarcina sp.
Lineage: Bacteria; Bacillati; Bacillota; Clostridia; Eubacteriales; Clostridiaceae
Description: bacterial SSU rRNA
Rfam family: Bacterial small subunit ribosomal RNA
Source: RNAcentral
UGGGGAAUAUUGCACAAUGGGGGAAACCCUGAUGCAGCAACGCCGCGUGAGUGAUGAAGGUCUUCGGAUUGUAAAGCUCUGUCUUUAGGGACGAUAAUGACGGUACCUAAGGAGGAAGCCACGGCUAACUACGUGCCAGCAGCCGCGGUAAUACGUAGGUGGCAAGCGUUAUCCGGAUUUACUGGGCGUAAAGGGAGCGUAGGCGGAUAUUUAAGUGGGAUGUGAAAUACCCGAGCUUAACUUGGGAGCUGCAUUCCAAACUGGAUAUCUAGAGUGCAGGAGAGGAGAAUGGAAUUCCUAGUGUAGCGGUGAAAUGCGUAGAGAUUAGGAAGAACACCAGUGGCGAAGGCGAUUCUCUGGACUGUAACUGACGCUGAGGCUCGAAAGCGUGGGGAGCAAACAGG